AUUGAACGCUGGCGGCAUGCCUUACACAUGCAAGUCGAACGGCAGCACGGGAGCAAUCCUGGUGGCGAGUGGCGAACGGGUGAGUAAAGUAUCGGAACGUGCCCAGUCGUGGGGGAGAACGUAGCGAAAGUUACGCUAAUACCGCAUACGAUCUAUGGAUGAAAGCGGGGGAUCGCAAGACCUCGCGCGAUUGGAGCGGCCGAUAUCAGAUUAGGUAGUUGGUGGGGUAAAGGCUCACCAAGACGACAAUCUGUAGCUGGUCUGAGAGCACGACCGGCCACACUGGGACUGAGACACGGCCCAGACUCCUAGGGGAGGCAGCAGUGGGGAAUUUUGGACAAUGGGCGCAAGCCUAAUCCAGCCAUGCCGCGUGCAGGAUGAAGGCCUUCGGGUUGUAAACUGCUUUUGUACGGAACGAAAAGGUUUGACUUAAUACGUUGGACUCAUGACGGUACCGUAAGAAUAAGCACCGGCUAACUACGUGCCAGCCGCCGCCGUAA
RNAcentral lists this ribosomal RNA (500 nucleotides) under uncultured bacterium. Its description in RNAcentral is "partial 16S ribosomal RNA". It matches the Rfam family "Bacterial small subunit ribosomal RNA", at positions 30 to 523 of the family's 1533-position model. The record is from RNAcentral.